GACCGGCGCACGGGUGAGUAACACGUAUCCAACCUGCCGUCUACUCUUGGACAGCCUUCUGAAAGGAAGAUUAAUACAAGAUGGCAUCAUGAGUCCGCAUGUUCACAUGAUUAAAGGUAUUCCGGUGGACGAUGGGGAUGCGUUCCAUUAGAUAGUAGGCGGGGUAACGGCCCACCUAGUCUUCGAUGGAUAGGGGUUCUGAGAGGAAGGUCCCCCACAUUGGAACUGAGACACGGUCCAAACUCCUACGGGAGGCAGCAUG
RNAcentral lists this ribosomal RNA (262 nucleotides) under uncultured bacterium. Its description in RNAcentral is "partial 16S ribosomal RNA". It matches the Rfam family "Bacterial small subunit ribosomal RNA", at positions 93 to 353 of the family's 1533-position model. The record is from RNAcentral.